AUAACGGUCCUAAGGUAGCGAAAUUCCUUGUCGGGUAAGUUCCGACCUGCACGAAUGGCGUAACGAUGGCCACACUGUCUCCACCCGAGACUCAGCGAAAUUGAAUUUGCUGUGAAGAUGCAGUAUACCCGCCGCAAGACGGAAAGACCCCGUGCACCUUUACUAUAGCUUCACACUGGACUUUGAAUAUGUUUGUGUAGGAUAGGUGGGAGGCUUUGAAGCGGUCACGCCAGUGAUCGUGGAGCCACCUUUGAAAUACCACCCUGAUAUGUUUGAGGUUCUAACCUAGGCCCGUUAUCCGGGUUGGGGACAGUGUGUGGUGGGUAGUUUGACUGGGGCGGUCUCCUCCCAAAGAGUAACGGAGGAGCGCAAUGGUACCCUCAGCGCGGUCGGAAAUCGCGCAACGAGUGCAAAGGCAUAAGGGUGCCUAACUGCGAGACAGACACGUCGAGCAGGUGCGAAAGCAGGUCUUAGUGAUCCGGUGGUUCUGUAUGGAAGGGCCAUCGCUCAGCGGAUAAAAGGUACGCCGGGGAUAACAGGCUGAUACCCCCCAAGAGUUCACAUCGACGGGGGUGUUUGGCACCUCGAUGUCGGCUCAUCUCAUCCUGGGGCUGUAGCCGGUCCCAAGGGUAUGGCUGUUCGCCAUUUAAAGAGGUACGCGAGCUGGGUUUAGAACGUCGUGAGACAGUUUGGUCCCUAUCUGCGGUGGGCGUUGGAGAUUUGAGGGAAGCUGCUCCUAGUACGAGAGGACCGGAGUGGACGUACCCCUGGUGUUCCGGUUGUCACGCCAGUGGCAUUGCCGGGUAGCUAUGUACGGACGGGAUAACCGCUGAAAGCAUCUAAGCGGGAAGCCCCUCCCAAGAUGAGAUCUCCCUGGAGUUUUAAACUCCCUUAAGGGUCGUUGUAGACCACAACGUUGAUAGGCUGGGUGUGGAAGUGCAGUAAUGUAUGAAGCUAACCAGUACUAAUUGCCCGUGAGGCUUGACCAUAUAACACCCAAGCAGUU
Molecule: ribosomal RNA, 1006 nt
Filed under: Acidiferrobacteraceae bacterium
Lineage: Bacteria; Pseudomonadati; Pseudomonadota; Gammaproteobacteria; Acidiferrobacterales; Acidiferrobacteraceae
Description: partial 23S ribosomal RNA
Rfam family: Bacterial large subunit ribosomal RNA
Source: RNAcentral